CUUCAAUUGCGUUUCAGAUAUUCACAAAGUCUAUCCACCUUUGUAAUUAACACAUUAUGUGUUUCUUAUACCAUUAAUUAUAGUAUCUGUAUUAUAUUACACAUUGUCACUGACACAUUUCUGAUACAGGGAAAAAAAUAGCAUGAUUGCUUUAGUAGUUAUAAUUUUUCUGUCCAUGCACCACAUUCCUGGAAGUCCAGAAUAUAGCAAGAAUCCUUUGUCGUUUUAUUCUAUGGAGCCAUUUAACGUUUUGAUUGGUAU
Molecule: non-coding RNA, 261 nt
Organism: Pelobates cultripes (western spadefoot toad)
Lineage: Eukaryota; Metazoa; Chordata; Amphibia; Anura; Pelobatidae
Source: the annotation of a GenBank genome assembly